Cicer arietinum (chickpea) is the source of this 459-nucleotide long non-coding RNA. RefSeq lists it as uncharacterized. NCBI's taxonomy places the organism in Eukaryota, Viridiplantae, Streptophyta, Magnoliopsida, Fabales, Fabaceae. The record is from RefSeq and is a predicted model, not a curated record.
AUUAUAUAAGGUGAUCAAACAAUUGUCUACUUGUCGCAUAAAAAGAUAGAAAAAAUGGCUGAAAUUCUAAAGGUUGUUUACACUAUGAUCCUUUUAGUGUCUUUAUUUCUUCUUUUAGUCGCCGACGGUGCAAAACAUAGAUGUAAGUCACACAAUGAUUGUAAAAAAUAUCCAUGUCCCCCUCUCCAUUUCAUGUAUUGCUCUGAGCAUAAUUGUGAAUGCGGAAGCUAUCCUUAAACUUGGCAAUGAUAAGAAAUCAAUGGAGCUUUUCUUAUGAUAAUGGAGUUUUUUCAAUAUUAAUUGUUGAUUUUGUUGUAUGAGUGGAGAUCCAUUGAAUUUAAAUGUAACUCUAAAUUUAAUAACUACAUUUAAAACUCUUUGUAUUCCUCAAAAUUUAUUGUUAUUAUCUGUUUUAACUUAUAAUUUUCAAACUUAAGAGUUAUAACAUUAUUGUCGUUA